UGGGGAAUCUUCCGCAAUGGGCGCAAGCCUGACGGAGCAACGCCGCGUGAGUGAAGAAGGUUUUCGGAUCGUAAAGCUCUGUUGAGAGGGACGAGAGAUAUAAUCAGGAAAUGGGUUAUAGAGGACGGUACCUUUCGAGGAAGCCACGGCUAACUACGUGCCAGCAGCCGCGGUAAUACGUAGGUGGCGAGCGUUGUCCGGAAUUAUUGGGCGUAAAGGGAGCGCAGGUGGGAAAGUAAGUCAGUCUUAAAAGUUCGGGGCUCAACCCCGUGAUGGGAUUGAAACUACUUUUCUUGAGUGCAGGAGAGGAAAGCGGAAUUCCUAGUGUAGCGGUGAAAUGCGUAGAUAU
RNAcentral lists this ribosomal RNA (349 nucleotides) under uncultured Veillonellaceae bacterium. RNAcentral's name for it is "bacterial SSU rRNA". It matches the Rfam family "Bacterial small subunit ribosomal RNA", at positions 355 to 697 of the family's 1533-position model. The record is from RNAcentral. Lineage: Bacteria; Bacillati; Bacillota; Negativicutes; Veillonellales; Veillonellaceae.